CUGACGUAGCAAUCAUUAUUAAAUGAGGACCAUGAAGUCUACAUGAAGACCAAAGCUGUCGGAUUAAAACUUCCAAAGAAAGAGGUCAUUGCUAUUUAGUGGCACCUCUACCUUCCCGAGUCAGGUACAACUGACUGGUCUUUGCUAUUGGGAGGAGAAAUAUGCAGGAUUUGUUUAGACAGCGUGGUUAUGCAAUGUUGAAUAAAGUUAUCCUUGAGCAACAUGUGUUAUGUGAACCCAGUGGUAUAUUUACAGGCUUUAUUGGUGGGCUCCACUGAAGUAAAAUUAAGAUGGAAGCUAUGAGGUCUCGGGCACAUAUAAAGGAAUGCAUGCAUGGAGGAGAAGAGAUCAAUAGAUGUGGCACAGUGUGCUGAACUCUAUUACCAGAAACAGGAUUUCAAACCUCAACUGGGCAAAUAUGUAACAAUGUAGAAAAGAAAAACUUUGUAGGAGCGUCCAUCAAUUAAAGAUUUUGAAAUCUGCACCAAACCAGGGUCCUCGUACUCUAAAGCCCAGCAGUAAAUAUGGGACAGACGCCGAUUUUAUGGAAGUGGUAGCGGCAGAUGAGUGUGACUAUCAGCAGGUGUCAAUGGCUCCAGAGCGGGAACCACUCCAAGGCCCAAUGCUGCACAAAGACAAAAACACAGGCACACACAGAAGAGGGGAGAGGCAGAGAGCUCGGGAUGAUGGGAAAACAACUGGAAACGGCAGGUGAAGCCAGCGAGGACACAGAGCACGACAGAGCGCUCCGAAAUAAAGACGUCAGCUCAGUAUGGAUUACCUGUGCCAUGACUGGGACUGCACAAUAACGUAUCUCAAUAAAGCUACGCGUUCUGUGCCGACAUGAUGUCCACUUAAAAAUACCCACGUCUUUUUUUUUUUUUAAACCAAGUCAGACACAGUGUUACUGAAUGAUUAAACAGCUGUUUAAAAACAUUCUCAGAGAUCAGCCAUUAAUCAGACAAGUGGAGAGUUCAUGGUGGUUCAACAUUAUCAUGUGUGAAAUUCUAAUACACAUUCAGGAGCACUGAGCACAUUGUUACUACAUAGUUACUACAUUGGUUAUUUAUGUAAUUGUAUUUUAUUUUUAUAGCACCAAAUUACAACAACAGUUGCCUCAGGGCGCUGUAUAAUAUAAGUUAAAGACUACAAUAAUAAUAUUCAUAUGCACUGUACACACGUACUGAUGCUGUGUCGUCUGUCCGUCUGUGUUAGAUCUGUCCAGCCUGCCUCUCUCUAUGACAGCUGGAACACGCUCCAGCCCCCCUGUGCCCCUAAAAUUGGAUGAGUGGAAGAGGAUGAACGGAUGGAUGUUUAAUAACUGAAAGAGUAAUGCUGCCAUCUAGAGACUGAAAGAUGGACCUUCGAACAAAAUGGAGUUGCAAUGGUUUCAAUUCAUGAAUGGUUUCCUAGACAAGUAUUAAACCAGCUUUCUCAGUCAUGGUUUGAAAUGCAUCCACGCUUGGCCUAGAACUGGAUUCUAUGAACUCAUUUCCCAAAGGAAGAUUAGGGCUAUUCCAGGACUAAAUGCAAGGUCAGAUUAAACCUUCCAGGACCUGGUUUAGCUGCAGUUUCUUACACCUCACCCAGGAGGCAUCCGAAUCAGAUACCUGAACCACCUCAACUGGCUCCUUUCAACAUGAAGAAGUAUUGGCUCUACUCUGAAAUCCUCUCGGAUGACUGAACUCUUCAUCCUAUUUCUAAGCGAGAGGUCAAUAAAUAAACUGAGUAGCAGUCAGCUGAAUACUCAGGAGUGGCUGGCGGUGCUCGAAAAACCAAGAGAGAAUAAUUGUCAAGCAGGUUUUUGACAGGCAGCUGGGAAGUAGACAAACAAAGUUCGAGAACAAAAUGCACAGGAGCCAGCAGCUUCAAUCUGUCAGAAAGAGCAGAGCCAUGAAGUCCUUAAAUAUCAUGAGCCUGAUGUGCCUCAUUAUUUAACCUGGAGUGAUAGAAAGAGAUGACAAAAGUCCCCUAAGACAAAAACAGACAUCACAGGAUUAUCUCAUUUGAAGAGGACAUGUUUCUAUUCCACAUAUAAUUAAUCAAAUACCCAUAAAUUACACAAAAACAUAUUUCACAUCAGAUGACACAAGAACAGAAAAAUGAGAAAGUAGAAAAAAAUACAACAAGUUUCCAUAUAUUCAGUACAAGCAUGUGUGAUUUCCAUGCUCGUGGUCCAUGGGCACAAAUGUUUGGUGCGCCCUAGCCAACUUGUUUUUUUUUCAGUCAUGUCAUACAGGUAUAAAAUACCUUGGAGUCCACAUUGACAAUAAACUGGACUGGGCUAAAAACACCACAGCACUUUACAGAAAGGGCCA
Molecule: long non-coding RNA, 2318 nt
Organism: Oreochromis niloticus (Nile tilapia)
Lineage: Eukaryota; Metazoa; Chordata; Actinopteri; Cichliformes; Cichlidae
Exons: 4
Source: RefSeq, a predicted model, not a curated record